RNAcentral lists this ribosomal RNA (261 nucleotides) under Salmonella enterica. RNAcentral's name for it is "partial 16S ribosomal RNA". It matches the Rfam family "Bacterial small subunit ribosomal RNA", at positions 327 to 580 of the family's 1533-position model. Lineage: Bacteria; Pseudomonadati; Pseudomonadota; Gammaproteobacteria; Enterobacterales; Enterobacteriaceae. The record is from RNAcentral. RNAcentral also lists the same sequence under 1 other name.
CGGUCCAGACUCCUACGGGAGGCAGCAGUGGGGAAUAUUGCACAAUGGGCGCAAGCCUGAUGCAGCCAUGCCGCGUGUAUGAAGAAGGCCUUCGGGUUGUAAAGUACUUUCAGCGGGGAGGAAGGUGUUGCGGUUAAUAACCGCAGCAAUUGACGUUACCCGCAGAAGAAGCACCGGCUAACUCCGUGCCAGCAGCCGCGGUAAUACGGAGGGUGCAAGCGUUAAUCGGAAUUACUGGGCGUAAAGCGCACGCAGGCGGUC